CCUACGGGUGGCAGCAGUGAGGAAUAUUGGUCAAUGGACGAGAGUCUGAACCAGCCAAGUAGCGUGAAGGAUGACUGCCCUAUGGGUUGUAAACUUCUUUUAUAAAGGAAUAAAACGCGGCACGUGUGCCUUUUUGCAUGUACUUUAUGAAUAAGGAUCGGCUAACUCCGUGCCAGCAGCCGCGGUACUACGGAGGAUCCGAGCGUUAUCCGGAUUUAUUGGGUUUAAAGGGAGCGUAGAUGGGUUGUUAAGUCAGUUGUGAAAGUUUGCGGCUAAACCGUAAAAUUGCAAUUGAUACUGGCAGUCGUGAGUACAGUUGAGGUAGGCGGAAUUCGUGGUGUAGCGGUGAAAUGCUUAGAUAUCACGAAGAACCCCGAUUGCGAAGGCAGCUUACUAAACUGUGACUGACACUGAUGCACGAAAGUGUGGGUAUCGAACAGGAUUAGAUACCCUGGUAGUC
This 460-nucleotide ribosomal RNA is filed under the name uncultured bacterium. RNAcentral describes it as "partial 16S ribosomal RNA". It matches the Rfam family "Bacterial small subunit ribosomal RNA", at positions 338 to 795 of the family's 1533-position model. The record is from RNAcentral.